GAGUUUGAUCCUGGCUCAGGAUGAACGCUGGCGGCGUGCCUAACACAUGCAAGUCGAGCGAGAAAGAGAGCUUCGGCUCUUGAGUAAAGCGGCGAACGGGUGCGUAACACGUGGGCGAUCUACCCUUUAGAUGGGGAUAACUUAACGAAAGUUGAGCUAAUACCCAAUAAGACCACGAAAAGCAAUUUUUGAGGUCAAAGAGUGCUUCUUCUGGAAGCAUUCGCUAAGGGAAGAGCCCGCGACCUAUCAGCUUGUUGGUAGGGUAACGGCCUACCAAGGCGAAGACGGGUAGCUGGUCUGAGAGGAUGACCAGCCACACGGGGACUGAGACACGGCCCCGACUCCUACGGGAGGCAGCAGUGGGGAAUAUUGGGCAAUGGGGGAAACCCUGACCCAGCGACGCCGCGUGGGUGAUGAAGGCCUUCGGGUCGUAAAGCCUUGUCAAGAGGAACGAAUGACUUUGAGGUAAAUAGCCUCAAGGAGUGACGGUACCUCUGAAGGAAGCACCGGCCAACUCCGUGCCAGCAGCCGCGGUAA
Molecule: ribosomal RNA, 537 nt
Filed under: uncultured delta proteobacterium
Lineage: Bacteria; Deltaproteobacteria
Description: bacterial SSU rRNA
Rfam family: Bacterial small subunit ribosomal RNA
Source: RNAcentral